CCGACAUGCCAAAUCCAAUACUUCGCGUAAACUGGUAAUCACGUAAACUGGUAAUGCAUGUGUUUAGUGACGUGUGUGUAUUUGCAGACGAUCAUAGAGUUUUUCGGUUUUAGAAAAAAUGGAUCAAAUUCGGGUAAAAUAAAUUCUUCCAAGAAAUUUUAAUAAUUAUUUAUUUAGUUUAGCUACGCCAACACAAAUAUUGAUAAAAUUACACUUAUUCGAUGCGUUUUUGCACGAAACGAAAGAAUUUUAUAGAAAAAAGUGUCGCUCUGCCCCGCGAAACGAGUUAUUAAUUGUCAAAGUUGACGACUUGACAGGUUAGGAAACCUGUCAUACCGACGAAACGUCGCGAUAUGAGCAUGCUCCGUGGUAUUAAAUCAUGAUAUUAAAUAAAUAUAAGUAUUAAAUCUUCAUCUUACUAAAGUGUGUGCGAUGAGUCUAUUUCAUAUUAAAAUGGAAACAGUGAAAAUUAGCAAAGUCCCCUACGCAAGUGAAACAUAGGGACUUCUCUCUCUUUACAUAUGCAUGUGGUGCGCACCCAGAUUGUACACAUGCAUAUGGGACCUACAGUUUAACGCCUGUCCGAACGGCAGUUGGAGAGAAGUUUUCUUUGGCAUGUGAUUACUCUUGGUGGUUUGUCGGACGACCGAAGAGGAGCUACGAGCGUAUGAAAAUUUUUCUAGUUCUGCCGGGGAUCGAGAACCCCGGGUCCUCUAGCAUAGUAGAUUGGUGCGCUAUCUACCAUGCCACGCUCGCGCUUCUUUAUUAUAUGUAAGAGAUAUAAGAAUAGAGGGAACAAG
Dinoponera quadriceps is the source of this 800-nucleotide long non-coding RNA. RefSeq lists it as uncharacterized. The transcript is spliced from 3 exons. NCBI's taxonomy places the organism in Eukaryota, Metazoa, Arthropoda, Insecta, Hymenoptera, Formicidae. The record is from RefSeq and is a predicted model, not a curated record.